This 73-nucleotide small RNA is filed under the name Flavivirga aquatica. RNAcentral's name for it is "Algibacter sp. SK-16 Flavo-1 RNA". It matches the Rfam family "Flavo-1 RNA". The record is from Rfam by way of RNAcentral. Lineage: Bacteria; Pseudomonadati; Bacteroidota; Flavobacteriia; Flavobacteriales; Flavobacteriaceae.
AAUUUGCGUGAAGGAUUGAAGCGAUAUCCUUUUUGUUUUUCUCAAAAAGAUUUAGCGUAAAGCCUGACCUUUA